UUGACAACUGUGGAAACUGAAGCUCUUUCUUAUUCCCAUGCCAGAUACAGCAUGAGCAGUGUCAGCCAAAGCUUCUCGUGCUGUUUCCUUCCAGAUGGUUCAAUCCUAUUGUUCUGGCACUUGCUUGCGUUCAAGGUUGAGAAGGUAGUUUAGGUUCCACAGCCCGUUCAGUCUUUAGUCUUU
This is an unclassified non-coding RNA of Panthera pardus (leopard), 183 nucleotides long. Lineage: Eukaryota; Metazoa; Chordata; Mammalia; Carnivora; Felidae. The record is from Ensembl.